Long non-coding RNA from Hyaena hyaena (striped hyena), 847 nucleotides. RefSeq lists it as uncharacterized. Lineage: Eukaryota; Metazoa; Chordata; Mammalia; Carnivora; Hyaenidae. The record is from RefSeq and is a predicted model, not a curated record. The transcript has 3 exons.
UGUGUUACCCUUCCAAGAAGUAACCGUCGGGUCAGGGUCAGGGUCAAGGCCGGAGCCUGAGCAACCAACCCCACCUUCUCAAAUGAGGGGCUUGAAGCGGAAGGAUUAAGCCCCAUGAAUGUCCUUUCCCAGGCUGGGGUCUCUGCUUGUGCCACCCCACGUGUGACGGCGUGUCCACCUGAGCUCACUGCCACCGGCUCUUCCGGAACGGAAGGCAGGCUCCAGGCACAGCAGUCUCCUAUGCGAUCCAGCUCCUUGCUGCUAAGAUGAGGUCAAACAGCACUGGAAGGGGGACCGUGCAGGCACACCGAGACCCAUCACGCACACUUGCCAUGGAAACCGGCCACGUUCCAGUCAAGGGCAGUGAGAACGACCAGGCUGGAGGAGGGGCAGCGAGGGGCUUGGACGAGAAGGACGCGAGAGCUCUGACGGCUACACUGUCCACUUCCAGCUGCUGCCGGGCAGUUUGCCCCCGGUUGGCCCAGAGCCACCGCAGGCCCCAUCGCCCCCACCUCCAGCCCAGAGACCAAGCUGCCCUCCGGCUCUGCACCCCACUGGGCUGUGACUUCUGCCUCCACCCUGCUACUGAACCCAGCGAGGGAGCGCCGACAGGAUUGGAAACCGAGGGCCAAACGGGAGAGGAGGAGGAGGAGGCGCCAGUCCCUAGGCCAGCUGCCCUUGUGCGAGGUGGCACCAGAGGGAGGUAAGGACUCGUAGUGGGGGCUGGGCCCAGGACCGGGGAAGGGCCCCUCAACUGUGCCCUGUAACACCUGUGGAAACACAGGUGCAGGGGAGGCCACUGACGACGGAAAGCCACGGGAGCGAUCCCGGACCCUCGGAAGGCAGA